AGCAGGAGAUGUUUGCUUAAAACUAAACCAGUACCUUCCACACUGUAAUUUUUUAACUGCUAAAGUCCAGGGAGCAUUAACCAAUUUAUGCAUUCAGCCCAAAGAGCAGGAGAAUGAAGAGUGGGUCCUGAGAACUGGAGGUUCCUUCAAUGCAAAGAAAGUUUCUGGGAGUCUGAGCUCAAGCCUGCAUUGCCCUGCCAUUUGAGAGAUCUGCAAAUAAAAUUACUGAUGGCGAAGGACUGUGUCUCUUAAAGAAAGGAGAAAGGAACUCAUAUAUUUGAUGAGUAUCUAAAGAGAACUGAAUAGGUUUAUUCUGGAGGUGAUAAUUGGGAAGGUCUGUCCCCAUGCCGCCAGGCACCAUGGCCAGCCGAGCAGAGUGCUUUGACUUGAGAAUUUCAUGAGCAAGGCAGAAUAAGCCACUCAGCUUCUGUGCAAGCAAAGCCAAGCAACAGCAUUAAUUAAUGUGGAUAAGAAGAGACAGGCCCUUGUUUGUAAUUAGGAGACUCUGUGGACCUUGUUUUCUUCUCCAGUCUCUCUUAAACGUGAUGAGAGCUGUGACUUCCAUGGGGUGAGUAGUUGCCCACCUCUCCACCUCCCUCCCCUCAGCCAGCUGAUUUCCAGCCCUGGGAUCUGGGGUACAGGAAGAUCAGGUUUACAUCCUAAUCCCUAGGAAACUUCGCCUCAGCUCACUCAGUUCAUUUCAACCAAAAGGUGAAAGGAAACUAAGAGUUAGCUGAUGCCAAAAAAGGCAGUCAGACCAACACAAGCCAGAACUGAGUUAUGUCACUCUGGGCUUUCUGCACCGUUGCCGCCAUUAACACCUGGAAGGCCUUUGAUUCUCACAUUAGCAAAACAUGCCAUAAAGCAUGAGCUUCCCUUCUUCCCACAGAAACACUGGCCCCUUUGCAAGGGGGGAGGUGGGGCAGUGUCACAAAGGCAGCUUUCAGCCCUAAAAGGCUUUCCUGAUUAGGCCUCUGAGGAGAGACUUCCACGAAGUCUUCUCACAGGAAUUUGCAGCCUGUUACAGCCCAGAUUUCCAGCAGCUUCUAAAGGAAGGACUCUUGGAAUGUCUGAGCCCAAAAGGACAGUGCAGAUUAGUUGGUCAAAUCACCUUCUUUUAUAGAGAUGAAAAUGGAUGCCUCAGGUGAAGAAUUUAAUUUUCAGUAUGAAUUUUUCUGACCACCUUGUGUCAAACAGGAUGCAAAAUGUUGAGGAUGCAAUGAUCUCUAACUUCAUCUCAUUCAGAAGCGGAGACUGUCUAUCACGUGCAAGAUGCAGGGAACGUUUACUAACUACCACCAAAUACAGCAGAGCUGUGAAUAUAACGACAGCUGCAGGUUCCUUGUUAGGAAGUGCAAAAUAGGAUUACACACACGCACGCGCACGCACACACACACACACACGCUGUCUAUACAAAUAGCUAAGGUAGCCAAAUAAUAAAAUACCUACCUUUCAAAAUAGCUACACAUUUAACAUUCAAUCAUGUGUAAAGUAUAUUAAUUUUUCUCUGCUCAUUUCCCGAUGCAAGUUUAUUUGAACUCAUCCUGUCGCCUCAGUGUUAUGUCUUCCUCGUCAAUCAAAGCGCUCUUUGAGUCACCUAGUGCAUCUCAUCUUUAUUUCUAUUUGGGUUUGAGAGGCAGCUCUUCUUGAAUAUUUAUAAAAGGUUGUCACUGGAA
Molecule: long non-coding RNA, 1676 nt
Organism: Macaca mulatta (Rhesus monkey)
Lineage: Eukaryota; Metazoa; Chordata; Mammalia; Primates; Cercopithecidae
Source: RefSeq, a predicted model, not a curated record